This 1245-nucleotide ribosomal RNA is filed under the name metagenome. RNAcentral describes it as "bacterial LSU rRNA". It matches the Rfam family "Bacterial large subunit ribosomal RNA", at positions 1564 to 2818 of the family's 2925-position model. The record is from RNAcentral.
UGAAUACGAGACGCUAAGGCGUCGAAGUAGUGUAUGUCAUACUUCCAAGAAAAGCUUGCACUGUCAUAGAUAAAAAACGCCUGUACCAUAACCGACACAGGUGGGUAGGUAGAGUAUACUAAGGGGCGCGAGAUAACUCUCUCUAAGGAACUCGGCAAAAUAACUCCGUAACUUCGGGAGAAGGAGUGCCUUAUUCUUAAGGUUGCAAUAACAAGAUCCAAGCAACUGUUUAUCAAAAACACAGGUCUCCGCUAAGUCGUAAGACGAUGUAUGGGGGCUGACGCCUGCCCAGUGCCAGAAGGUUAAAGAAGCUGGUUAGCAUUUGCGAAGCUAGUAACUGAAGCCCUGGUGAACGGCGGCCGUAACAAUAACGGUCCUAAGGUAGCGAAAUUCCUUGUCGGGUAAGUUCCGACCCGCACGAAAGGCGUAAUGAUUUGGAUACUGUCUCGGAGAGGGGCUCGGUGAAAUAGACUUGUCUGUGAAGAUGCGGACUACCUGCACCAGGACAGAAAGACCCUAUGAAGCUUUACUGUAACUUGAAAUUGAAAUUGGACUUUAUUCGCGCAGUAUAGGUGGGAGGCGUUGAUUAUAAUCUUGCGGGAUUAUUGGAGCCAUUAGUGAGAUACCACUCUUGUAAUGUUAGAUUUCUAACUUUGAAUCAUUAUCUGGUCAAAGAACAGUUUCAGGCGGGCAGUUUGACUGGGGCGGUCGCCUCCUAAACGGUAACGGAGGCGUACAAAGGUCUCCUCUGAACGGUUAGAAAUCGUAUCUAGAGUGUAAAGGCAUAAGGAAGCUUGACUGUAAGACCUACAAGUCGAGCAGGGACGAAAGUCGGUCUUAGUGAUCUGACGGUACUGAGUGGAAAGGCCGUCACUCAACGGAUAAAAGUUACUCUAAGGAUAACAGGCUGAUCUCCCCCAAGAGUUCACAUCGACGGGGAGGUUUGGCACCUCGAUGUCGGCUCAUCGCAUCCUGGGGCGGUAGUACGUCCCAAGGGUUGGGCUGUUCGCCCAUGAAAGCGGUACGCGAGCUGGGUUCAGAACGUCGUGAGACAGUUCGGUCCAUAUCCGGUGUAGGCGUUAGAAUAUUGAGAGGAGCCUUCUUUAGUACGAGAGGACCGAGAAGGACAUACCUCUGGUGUACCAGUUAUCGUGCCAACGGUAAACGCUGGGUAGCUAUGUAUGGAGUGGAUAACCGCUGAAAGCAUCUAAGUGGGAAGCCCACCUCAAGAUAAGUAUUCUCAUC